UGCCGCAACUAAAAGAUCCUGCGUGCCACAACUAAGACCCGGCACAGCCAGAUAAAUAAAUAAAAGGAAAUAUAUUCUAAAAAAUAAAAUCCAUAUAUAUGACUCUUAACGUUUAGGAGAUGGACGCGUAGCUUCACUCCUCCCCUCCAACACGCACACAAAGUGACAUGUUGCCGCAAGGUUGCCUGAGAAAGAAGCCCCUACUGGCAGCCUAACCUUGACAGUGGGAAGAGGCGAUGCUGACAGGAGGUACAUGAAGCUUCCAGCACCGGUCGAUGGAACCACCUUCUGUGUCUCUGUUGGGGCCCUGUGCCUCUGGUGAGGAAUUGGCUCUUGGGCUGACUUUCUAACCGAUCAUUGUGCACCCUUCCAUCCAGGGUGACAUGAGAGAAAAGGACACCCACCCACCCCAGGCGAGUCCCCUUGUGAGAUGUCUAUUGAUUAGGUGCACCUUGAGUUGGGACAGGUUUGGAGAAAGAGUUAGUAGAGGGAAAUGGUAAAGACCUCCCUCAAAUCAUUUAGGAAAUGGAAGAUAGAAGAGCUUCCUCUGUUGGGCCACACGAAGCAGCCCAGCGAGGAGAGGAGGACAUGUAUACAGCAGGAAGAGAACCGGUUAAGAGUUUGAACCUGGCAGAAAGGGGGACAGAUCAGCUCUGUUAGGAAUAAGCUCUUCUGUGCCACCCUCCAUAAAAGGAGGUGCCAGCUAGUCGGGGGCAAGCAGGCUGGCCGUGGGGACCAGAUUCUGAUAAGGCUGAACUGGGUUCGGGGUGGAAUCAGUCCAGUGUCCUGGGGCAGACUGGGGUUCAGGCUCAGAAAGGCCCUUCUUAAUUGCAGGCAGCAGCUUCAGUGAGUGACAGACUCAGAGCCCAAGCCCAGGGCCAGCACUAUUUCCAGGUGCCACUCAAGGGCCAAACUCUACAAGGUUACUGCUUUAUAGGGGAGGGGCUACACUGACACCCAACUGGGUUCACCAAGCGUCCAACCGUGCUUCUCCUCUCGGGCCCGCGCCAUCCUUCCUCAGUAAGCAUCCCCAGGGGGCAUGGGGCUGGCCUGUUAUCCAGCCCCAGGGAGAAAGGACAGGAAUUAUUUGAGUAAGUAAGAUACUCCUUCUUAAUAGUAUUUUCCAAAAAGAAACACCUGGUUCUACUUUAUCAAAUAAAUGACUAAGCAAUGGGAUUAAUACUUAUUCUAACUUGGGACAUUAAUUUCUAGUCAAGCUAAGUACAUAAUCAUGUUUGAGCUGGAAAAAGUCUAUAAAUUACCUGUAACAGGGCAAACUGCCGCCCACAUGCCAAAUCCAGCCUGCUCCCUGUUUUUGUACAGGCUGUAAGCUAAAAAUAGUUUUUACAUCUUUAAAUGGUUGAAAAAAUCAAAAGAAGAAUAAUAUUUCAUCACACAUGAAAAGUAUAUGAAAUUUACAUUUGAGUGUCCAUAAGUAAACUUUUAUUGGGACCCUAUGGCUGCUUUUGCACUGCAAGGCAGAAUUGAGUAGUUGCAAGAGACUGUUUGCCUACAAAGCCUAAAAUAUUUACUACCUGAACGCUUACAGAAAGAGUUUGAUGACCCCUGAUCUGUACAAUGCAGUGUUCAUUGUAUAGGAGAAAACAGACUCACUUCCAUUAUUUAGGUUUAUACAGUUACAGAAGGUCCCUACAAGACCCCAUUUGAUACCGAGACUGUUUAAUUCAAGGUUCAUAUAUUAUACGGGAGGAGGGGUAUUUGAUUCUUGCAUGUAUUCUAUAAAGCACAUUAUGGACUAUGUACCCUGGAUACAAUUUAGGAGUAUGAAGAUCAAUGGAGGAAAGUAGGCCCUACAUCAAUAAUAGGUCACCCAGAGAUGAUGGGUGAGUUGGAUCAAGGACGCUGCCAUUCCAUAAUGUACCGUUAUGUGAAUUAGAUAAGACACCCAUCUUUCAAGACACUUUGAUUUGUGCCACGAAUUUUCUUUUUAAGUGAACAUGCCAUCUCCUGCGCCUCAGUGUGAAUAGCGCCCCCUGGGGGUUCUGCAGUGCUCAGCUUGCAGAUUGCAGACAACUUCAGUGCCCUGGGACAGGAAGCUGCUGGGUGAAGCCCUCUUGUUCUGGAUGGUGCCAAGGCCAGCAGGGCGAGGAGCUGAGGGACAUGGCGGUGGAGAGGGGAGGCCCCCAGGGGGGAGUUGGAGGAGGGAUAGGGUCAGAGAAGGAAGACUGUCUCCAUAUCUGUAGGUCACUGGCUGGUGUACUGUAACUGGAGAAACUGCUGCUGCCCUCUCACCAGAAACUACCAGCGUGGAGAACGGCACAGGUCCUAGCCCGUGAUUGGGGCAUCUGCCUUUGUGACUUUUAUUUCAUUUACCAUCACUUAUCUCUGUCCAUAGUGUUUUUUAGAAGUCUGCAUAGUCACAAGUUAUGCUGCUUUCAACUACUGGGAAACAACUGUGUAUCCCUAAGGUGCCCCAGGGCCCUCCAAAAUAACUUUGCUUUAUGCCAGAAAGCCUGUAUUUUAGGCGAGAACAUCCUAAACCGUCCCAACUGUUUGGUGAGAGUUCGAAUCCACACAGGCAUCUCCCCGUGGAGCAGUCAGACCUCCCACUCCUCAGUGCUCACAGGCUCUCCUAAGAAGCAACAGCUCUCUGAUGGGGAUACAGUAAAAGUGACCUCUUCCUCCUUGCUUCCAGCUUGUGGUGAGGGAAGAUGGCCAGCUGCCUCGGGAGGGCACAGAAGCUGGUCAGAGUGGAUACUUGGAGCAGCACUUGGCUCCGGGGAGGGAUCUGGUCAGUGCCAUUUGCCGACACUCUAGGAAGACUGAGAUGCCACCUAAAAUUUCAAACCGAUAAUGAAAUACAGGCAGGAGUGGCUUCUCCAGGCCCCCCAUUUAUUAAAAAAAGGGGAGAGGCAGACCCCCCCCAGGGUUUCUUUACGUACAUACCCCUGGUUAAAACAUAAUCACUUGCAAAAGACAUUAACUACUUUUCCCUUGUAAUUAAAUAGUGCUGUGAAUAACAAUUUAUAAUAAAUAUGAAUUGGACUUGUUUCA
Aethalodelphis obliquidens (Pacific white-sided dolphin) is the source of this 3015-nucleotide long non-coding RNA. RefSeq lists it as uncharacterized. The record is from RefSeq and is a predicted model, not a curated record. The transcript has 2 exons. Lineage: Eukaryota; Metazoa; Chordata; Mammalia; Artiodactyla; Delphinidae.